CGGGCCGGGGCGGCGGGACGAGCGGGGAUGUGCGGCCCCGGUGCGCCCGGCGGGACGGGAGCUGCCCGCGGCGCGGGCGGAAUGGUAACGGAGCGGGAGGUGCGCGGGACAUCGGAGGCGGUUCGCUGGAAGCGGGAGCUGGGACUUGCCCGCUCGGCGGUUUCCCGGCAGUGGAGGCAGGAGUUGGGCUGUGGGUGACUUAAUGGUCUUGGAGGUCUUUUCCAACCUCGGCGAUUCCACGAUUCUGUCACAUUGCGGGAAGCUCAGCGGGCAGAGCCGGUUAAGUCAGGGCUGUGUCAGUGCUGCGGCACUGACUUGGUGCUGUGGGGUUUUCUGAGUGUUGGGCAUGUCGUGUAGGCAUACUUCGCACUGCGCGUGUGCCAGGCGAAUAGCAGCUGGAACGUGAGUGGGUCUAAAACAUCCUCGUGGAGUAGAGUUUCUCAUGAGAUACAGAUGACAGGAGAUGCUGCUCAUACAGAGUGUCAUGGCAGAUGUGGCUGCUGAAGACUGUGACAGGUGGAGCCGACCCGUGCCAUCGCUUGUGUCAGAGACAACUCCUCACCCUGGGUUUUUCAACACGUGCUUUGGUCCACUGCCACUUCUGUUCUACUGAAAUGCUCUGAGCCUUGGCUGGAUUGAGCCUGGUAUUUGCUAUUAGUGAGCUGUCAGGCUUAUGAGGAGCGGCUGAGGGAACUGCGAUUGUUCAGUCAGGAGAAGAGGAGAGCCAGAGGUGACCUAUUCACUUUCUGCAACUGCCUGAAAGGAGGGCGCGGCGAGCUGGGGGUCAGCCUCAAGUUGAGGGGAGGUUCGGGUUGGAUGUUAGGAAAAAUUUCUUUUCUGAAUUGUCAGGUGCUGGAAUGGGCUUUCCAGGGAGGUGGUGGAGUCACCAUCCCUUGCAGGCGUUCAAGAAAUGUGGAGAUGUAGCUCUGAGGGAUGUAGUUGCUGGGGAAACAUUGGUGGUAGAUGGAGGGCUGGACUAGAUGUUCUGGAAAAUCUUUUCCAACCUUAGUGAUUCUAUACAUUUUGUAUUACUUUUUUUUUUUUUUUUUUUCAGCAGAAGCCUGUCCUUUUCUACUUAGUCCUAAAUACUGCUUUAAUCCCUUUUUCCUAGUAGCAAAGCACAUUUUUCAAUACAAAUGGUUGCCAUAUUUAUAUUGAUAAAUUUUUAUCAAUCAAAAAUUUAUUUUCAGAAUGAGUGGUGAAGCAUUGGGACAGGCUGCUGGGUGAGGUGGUGGAGUCACCGUUUGUGGAGAUUCUGGAAAUGUGGCUCUUAAGGACAUGAUAGAAUAAGAGUUGAGAGAUGGAUUCAGUCAUCCAGUCUGAGGGCCACCCAUCUUGCCAGUCUGUCUUUGGAGACUUAAAAUGUAAGGAUGACGGAGCACUGGAAAAGGCUGCCUUAGUUGUGCAGUUUCCUUCUAUGGAGACAUUCAAGACCCAUCUGGACACCUACCUGUGUGACCUACUGCAGGGAAGUUGCUUUAGCCGGGGGUUGGACUUGAUGAUCUCUUGAGGUCCCUUCAAACACCUGCGAUUCUCUGAUUCUGUGAUUUCUUAAAUGUUAAAAAAAAGCAUUCUGACAUGUGAAGACAUUAGAGACAAAACUGGAAAGAUGUUAAAAUACAGUUUCUAAGUUGGUAGUUACCUUUUCAUGAUAAAGAUUUGAUUCAUGAAAGAAAUGGUAUGUAGACCGCUGAAAUAAGGCUUUUAUGUGAAGAAAACCAGAGCAGGUCAAAAAUAAUACUCUCUGUAAAGCAGUGUGCAUAUCUUGGUGCAAGUACUGUGACUCUAGCUUAGGCUGGUGAAAAGGUAUGUGCCUAACUUUGCACAUUUUAUAGUUUUGCUUUCUGAAGCAAGACUAUAGCUGCUGCAUAAAACAGAUCGUAUACAUGAGUCACUGAAGAGUAGAGACUUGCUCACUAUUAGGUGAGAUCUGUGGUUCGGCUGCUCUUACAUCUGUCAGUGAUAAGAUCCCAUGGUACUGUUGCAACAGUAAUAGAAGUCUCACAGUCCCUUGAAAACACUCUAAGUGUACUUAGUGGUUAGUGUUUUUCUUGUGGUUCCAGAUGAGUUAAUUGUACUUCAUUUUUCUUUCCUUUCAAACGAUUUUGAUAGCAUUCCUAGCAUGGAUUAAAAAAGAUAAAGCCACAUCUAAUUGCAAUAAUCAAAUACAGACUUUUUACAUGUAUUUUUAUAUUCAUAGCCACAUUUUUAGAGACAUUUAUAUAUGCUUUUUGCAUAUAAUACUUUAAUUAUUGGAUUUCCUGAAAUAUUAUUACCAGUGCUUUCCAUGUAAAUACAAAUUUUUAUUGUGGAGACAUUACUGUAUUUCAGGAAACACUUAUUUUCUCUUUCAUUCUCUGAAAUCAGUGUGAGCACUCCCCUCAGUUUAAUUAUACCUGUAUUUCACCUUAAGUUUUAUGGGAAGAGUUGUAGCAAUAACUACAGUUAAGGUUGCCUAACAUCUUCUGUUGUAUAAAUUCUGUACAUAAGAACAGAGGAAGAGGGUACAAUAAAACAAGUCAAGAUUAGCAAAGUUAAUUUUAUCUGGGUUACUUCAAAAACCAGAAAGAUUUAUUAGGGACUCAGUGUUGUAUUUUUAAGUGCAAUUUGACUGAUAUAAUUUUAACUAAUUAUUGUUAUGUAGUUCAAAAGAAUGGCAAAGACAUUACUUCACAGCAUUUCUAAAGAAACAAAUAGAGAAUUAUCAGUAUUUUAACCUAUAAAAUAUUUUAAAAAUACAUGUUUUCCAAAAAUGUUAAAGAAGCAUCAUUUACCUUCUUGUUUUUCCCAGACCACUGCCUGAGGCUAAUCUUAGCAACACUUUGUACUACCACUGUGAUUUACUAAUUAAAGUUAUCUUAAAUUAUAACAUCUUUAAUACUGCUGAAGAUGGUGAAGUGUAUAUAAUUAUUUCUUUGAAAAAGAAAGGAAUUAUAAAAUUUUAAAUUACUGUUUUCUGUAACGCAUUGCCAUUAUUUCAAGUAGUGUUUACUUCCCUUGCUCAGAAUACCAUUUAUGAUGUUUGAUUGCAAAUGUUUUUGUAUAAAGGAAAGAAGGACUAUUUUCCAAAUACUUGUCUUUGGUAGUGUAGUAGCUAAAAGUAUAGAAUCUGAUCUAAGCUAGGAGCACUGAUACGUGUGUGUUAGACACAGACCUUCACUAUAAAAGGAUCCUUUCAUAAAAAUGUGGAAGUCCUAAUCCAAAGUUCACUGUAAUUGGCAGCAUUGUUCUGUUUCCAGUGGUAUCUGCCUUUGGCUAUUAUGGAGUAGAAAAGCAUCUACACUAUUUGUAUAAAUAUCAUGAGCAGUCUUUGUAUAUUUGCUAGCAAAGGGGUCCUUAAUCUGCCACUACAUCAAAAGGGUCUGCACAGCCACUCACAAAGGCAUAAUAGUAAUAAAAAUCCUGCAGAAACUGUGCAUGAAGCUGCUAUUUGGAGAAUGGCCCCCACCUGGCUCCAUUCAGACAGGAGUUAGCCAUUGUCAGGAGAACACCUGAGUGCACUCAGCAUGGACUUCUACUCUGCUACCAGAUCCUGCCUGAAACAGCAUCUGAAUUGCUUGUGUGCAAGGAGGAAAUUGUACUGGCAGCAGGAUGCCGAGAUACACACAUUGGCUCAUGUUCAUAAUGCUUGGGGUGAUCUCAUAUUCACAUAGCAUUCACAGUGUUUAUGGUCUCAUGUUUAUGUGGCUUGGGUAUAGCUUCUGUCUGUCUGAUCUGGAAUGGAGAAAUUUAGUUGGAGCACAGCCAGGGCGCCUGUAUGAUGCUGGUUCUGGUCUGUGAGCCCUGUCCGUGCCUCUGUGUAACACAAAAGGUGUACCCAUAGAACGUUAGUCAGGAUUCAUAGCAAAUCAGCUGUAACACAAAGGCAGACUGGCCUGGUAUGAAAAAGGCUGCUUGCCUGUGGUGGUUGAAAGUACAAGGGCUGCCCCAAAAGUAAUGCCUCCUAUUUUAUUAUGUUAAUCUGUGAUGUCAGAAGCAGAUGUUGGUGGUAUGGCAGCAGAGGUUGAACCUUCCACCAGUAUUCCAUUAUAUUUUGUUGCUGUGUGACAGAUGGCAGCAGAGGGGCAUUCUGACAGAACGACAUCUUACAUGGAAGUGCAUAUGAAGCAAAGGUGUGAAAUUAAAUUCCUGAAGGCAGAAAAAAUUGUAUCCAUU
Molecule: non-coding RNA, 4155 nt
Organism: Phasianus colchicus (ring-necked pheasant)
Lineage: Eukaryota; Metazoa; Chordata; Aves; Galliformes; Phasianidae
Source: RefSeq, a predicted model, not a curated record